This 1034-nucleotide long non-coding RNA is filed under the name Homo sapiens (human). Its description in RNAcentral is "HSALNT0235373". Lineage: Eukaryota; Metazoa; Chordata; Mammalia; Primates; Hominidae. The record is from RNAcentral.
ACGCUGCAGGGCCGCCCUCUCCCACUCCUUGUUUCCAGGGGUCAAUGCCUGGAGGGGGUGUCCCCAGGAGAGGAGGGUGACCCCAUGCAGCCUCCCCGAGACCCCAGCACUCUUGGAGCCCCACUCCUCGGGGUGUACUCACAGGUGCCAGGCUCCCAUUCCCUUUCCUGGGAUCCCAGAUGGCUCAGAGUUGAGUCCUUACGGCCUGAGACUGGGGACUUCUGGGAACAGACCUGCCUGGAUAAAUUCUGCCAGGAGUGAUGGGUGCUCCCCAGGGUCCUCUGCAGCCUCCCUGCCCUGCAUCCCCGAGCCCCGGGGCCUAUUUCCUCCCACACUGCCCUGCAAGCUCCCACACUGAGGGGGUGCUCUCCAAAAUGGGGCUGGGGCCCUGGAUGAUGAGCGUGCUGGCCGGAGAGGAAGACAGUGAGGAGAGGGGGGAGUCCAUGGGGCUGGCCUCCCAGAGGCCCGCCAGCUCCCGUGCACACUUCAGAGAUAAGGCCAGGGCGCUGCUGACAACCCCUGCUCCAUUUUCCCGAAGUUCUAGGAAACUCCAUUUUGGACACUUUCUGUUCUUUAUGUUUCAAUCCAGCCAAGCCCCGGAGUAGCUUCCCAAAGACCCAGAGGAACGGGAACUCAGCGUCAGUACUCAGAGUGAAACCUGCUUUUGAAAUACGUCAAUGACGGCAACAGGCCUCCCUUGUCCCCACCUGGCUGGGGUGGGGAGCCCCGCCAGGCCAGCUGUCAGCUCCCCAACCCCAUCUGCCAGGGCCGAGGGGGUCGGGCCGGUGAGGACCAGGCGGGGGCACAGCCAUGUGCAGCCUGGUGGGGAGGGGACUUACUCUCUACUUUCUCCUCCUCUUUUUUUUGACUCUCCCAGAGGAGUUGAGUUGUUUUCUGUAGUUGUGAGAAGCCCAUGCCCUGGGUCUGCAGGCUGUGCAGGGCUGCGAGGUGGCCCUCGCCGCUCCGUCUGACGUACUAUGGGUUUGGCCUGUAGAUGCUGUGAGAUGCAAUAGUCGGGUUAGCGCCGUGUCCGU